Cavia porcellus (domestic guinea pig) is the source of this 531-nucleotide long non-coding RNA. RefSeq lists it as uncharacterized. The transcript has 2 exons. Lineage: Eukaryota; Metazoa; Chordata; Mammalia; Rodentia; Caviidae. The record is from RefSeq and is a predicted model, not a curated record.
AUGACCAGUUUUAGGAACUGUCAGCACUGCAGUUAGGGAAGAAGUGGAGCAGAUGAUGUUGAGAGACUCAAACAAAGUCAGGUAUUCCUGGAGAUUGGCUCUCAGUCCCAGGGAGGAAAACCGGAUGAGUCCUGUAUAGUCUGGCCAUUAUGGCAUUGUCUGGGACUUUGACUGAACUCACAAAGGCUCUUUGUGAUGCCAGUUGAACUCCCUAGAGGAAAAGGGGUGUUCUGCUUCGUGGGUGUGGCGAGUACACACCUCUUCAGCAAAACCAGCAAGACGACCAAGUGCGCAGUUUUCACUGCCACUGCCAGGAACUGGGAAAAUGAUCUUGGCUAAUAUUCCUGGGGAUCCCUGUCUCCCAGGAGCAACCAUGAUGUAUUCACUCACUACUGCCUGCAGAUUGAGGUAGCUCUGGGAUCAGGAUAAGCUGGCCCCUCUACGAAGGAGGUGGGCCCCAUGGCUUCAAUUCUCUGCAGCAGAUUCCCAGCCAGGUAUUAAACAAAGGAAGUAAAGUUUUGCCUGAAUGAC